Molecule: ribosomal RNA, 57 nt
Filed under: Rhizoctonia solani
Lineage: Eukaryota; Fungi; Basidiomycota; Agaricomycetes; Cantharellales; Ceratobasidiaceae
Description: 28S ribosomal RNA
Source: RNAcentral
CUACCCGCUGAACUUAAGCAUAUCAAUAAAGCGGAAGAAAAGGAUAUUAUUGAAUUU